GGAAGUAUAAGUCGUAACAAGGUCUCCGUUGGUGAACCAGCGGAGGGAUCAUUACAGAGUUGCAAAACUCCCAAACCAUUGUGAACGUUACCUAUCCCGUUGCUUCGGCGGGCGGCCCGGGCCCCGCGCCCGGCGCCCCCCGGCCCCCCGUGGGCGCCCGCCGGAGGUAAACCAAACCCUUGAAUUGCAUGGCCUCUCUGAGUCUUCUGUACUGAAUAAGUCAAAACUUUCAACAACGGAUCUCUUGGUUCUG
Molecule: unclassified non-coding RNA, 253 nt
Filed under: plant metagenome
Description: partial contains small subunit ribosomal RNA, internal transcribed spacer 1, and 5.8S ribosomal RNA
Rfam family: Eukaryotic small subunit ribosomal RNA (bases 1-54)
Source: RNAcentral